Molecule: ribosomal RNA, 397 nt
Filed under: uncultured bacterium
Lineage: Bacteria
Description: partial 16S ribosomal RNA
Rfam family: Bacterial small subunit ribosomal RNA
Source: RNAcentral
AUACGUAGGGGGCGAGCGUUGUCCGGAAUGAUUGGGCGUAAAGGGCGCGUAUGCGGCGCGGUAAGUCUGGAGUGAAAGUCCUGCUUUCAAGGUGGGAAUUGCUUUGGAUACUGCCGCGCUUGAGUGCAGGAGAGGUUAUCGGAAUUCCCGGUGUAGCGGUGAAAUGCGUAGAGAUCGGGAGGAACACCAGUGGCGAAGGCGGGUAACUGGACUGCAACUGACGCUGAGGCGCGAAAGUGUGGGGAGCAAACAGGAUUAGAUACCCUGGUAGUCCACACUGUAAACGAUGAAUGCUAGGUGUAAGAGGUAUCGACCCCUUUUGUGCCGGAGUCAACACAAUAAGCAUUCCGCCUGGGGAGUACGGCCGCAAGGUUGAAACUCAAAGGAAUUGACGGGG